UCCCGGGUGGUUCGGAUGGUAAAGAAUCUGCCUGCGAUGCAGGAGACCUGGGUUUGAUCCCUGGUUCGGGAA
Molecule: transfer RNA, 72 nt
Organism: Ovis aries (sheep)
Lineage: Eukaryota; Metazoa; Chordata; Mammalia; Artiodactyla; Bovidae
Rfam family: tRNA
About the family: Transfer RNA (tRNA) molecules are approximately 80 nucleotides in length.
Source: Rfam